GCACUGCUGAGGAGUUCCGCAAUAGGACGAAACGGCCGUCCAGUGC
Schistosoma rodhaini is the source of this 46-nucleotide non-coding RNA. The record is from Rfam. NCBI's taxonomy places the organism in Eukaryota, Metazoa, Platyhelminthes, Trematoda, Strigeidida, Schistosomatidae.